Lathyrus oleraceus (garden pea) is the source of this 2607-nucleotide long non-coding RNA. RefSeq lists it as uncharacterized. The record is from RefSeq and is a predicted model, not a curated record. The transcript has 6 exons. Lineage: Eukaryota; Viridiplantae; Streptophyta; Magnoliopsida; Fabales; Fabaceae.
UAAAAGAAUUAGGUGUUAGAAAUUAAUGUUAGAUGUUAGAUCAAAUAGAAAUGAUAAAAGAAUAUUUAACAAAAUUCAAUUUCUAAACGAUUAUCAACAAUUAAUUCCAAAACAGUUAAUAAAAUUGAAUUCUAAACAAAAUACCAAAUCAAUUCCAAAAUUGAAUCAUCAAAGCAGUUAACAAAAACAAAUUCUAGAACAAUUACUAAGUCAAUUCUAGAAAUCAAUUCUAAUUAAAUUCUAAACAAAAUUAACUCCUAAAUUCAAUUCUAAACAAUUAACAUUUCUUAAGAUUAAUCCUAAUUAACAACUAAUCCUAAGUCUAAUCCUAAUUAAUCUAAACUAACUAGCUAUAAAGCAAGGUAUAUGAGUUCUGAAAGUGCAGAAUGGGCCUCGGGAACGUUUGGCCCAAACCACGGGGAAGGUACAAGCUGGAAAAACAGGGUGUAUUUGUGAAAUACCACAGGCCCUAUCCAAACCUCUACAAGGCUACUGCAAGCAGGUAACAGAAAUGUGAAAGAAACAGAAAAGCGCUUAUCAAACGUGCUUAUUCACCAAGCCUAUCCACAAGCAGAAACGCAAUUGGUUAAUCACACGGAUUAAGAGCUACCUGUCGAAGGCGACGGUGGAGGCGGCGACGAUGAUGACGAACACACACAGCUUCUGAACGUCUCUCUUCCUCUUCUUACAGUGUUGGAGCGAGCUGCAAGCGUGUGAGCGAUAACGAUCUGCGAGCUUCCGGUGGUGGUGGCGAUGAUGACGGAGAUCACCGGUAUGCUUCCGAUCCACUUUUGAGCGCCUCUCUUUUUCUUCUCUUAAUACCGAGAUGAUCCUUCGGUAUCUGAAGUGUGGGAGAGGUGGUGACCGUCAAACUUUGAGUCUUCCGGUGGUGGUUUAGCUCUGCCGUGUAGAGCUUCGAGUGAUGAAGCUCUCACAACAAUGGAAGAUGAGCGUAUACUGAAGGUGAGAAUUGAGUGCAAAAUGCUUUAGGAAUGAGGGAAGAAUCUUCUGAACCCAAUGAUUGACAAUGAUUACCACUUAUAUAGCACGAUCCAAGGGCAAAUUGGAGAAUUAAGUCUGAAUCAUCCAGCUGGCACUUAAGUGAAUGAGAAGGACUCGUGUUCAGUUUGGUGUAGUGUCAAGGUUAAUGUACAUUGUUUCAACACGAGCAAAUUCAUUGCAAGUCCCUGUUGGUUACCGUCAUUGCUCAAUGCCAAGUCUUAGUGGCUUGAUGCAAGCUUCGCCCUGUCACAGUGUAGGAUUGUUAUGCUGCCAGAUCUGGAACUAGCCUUAGACAGAUGUUGCCAUUCGUGCUGAAGACCAAUUUGCAAGGCCAUGUUUGAGCAUGGUUGCAGGUUUGAUCCCUUUUGCACUGCCUUGGAUUAUAGACUGGUUUGCUGAAUGUUUGGAUACCUUGCCCUGUUUCUGCAGGUUUUGAAGCAUGAUGACAUUGCUCAGUUGCCUUAACAUGUUGCAGAUGGACUUCCUGCUAUCUUGCAUCAAGCUUUUUGUGGAGUAGUUUUCAGGUCUGCAGUAGCAAAGCAUUGCCUUAUGUUUCAUGAAAUUCCAUGACAUGGUUGAUGUGGUUCUGCCGGUAUAACUAAAGGCCCUAUGCAGUCUCACUGUUAUGCAUUCUGCUACAGAUUAAUCAUGGAUGGAUGCUUCUGGUCGAUGCCUUGCUCAUUUGGUUUGUAAUGCUUGCGGACCUGUUUUUGUGUGGGUUAGCAAAAAGGAUUGAUGACAAAAAGGUCUUCUUUUAAGGUCUGUAGCAGGUAACAAUUCUUGUCAUUCUGCACCUGACUGCAGCUUGGUCUUGCACAACAUGUUAGUUCCAUUUGACUAGCCUUGCCAACUGUUAUGGAUGGUGUAGCCAUUGGGAUCACAUUGGUCUCCUUUUGCAGGUAUGAUGAUAGCCCGUUCAAUAAAGUGACCACUGUUGGAUUCACCUGUAAGUGAGAUCCCUGUCCUGAAUGAAGUGCAGGUGCAUCUCCAUGUUUCCUGCGAAGAGCUGAAGAGUUUGCUGCAGAAAGAGGUUGAUUUGGACCUGUUGGAUGUUGCCUCUUAACAUGACCUGAAUUGGAUUCUUUAAUUGCAGGUCCUAUUUCUACUUGACAGUGUGCCAACUGGUUUUCCUUGCAGGAUGAUGGCAGGAUGGUUGUCAGUGAGUCUCAGACCAAACUCAUGAGCAUUCUUUCGUUCAAAUGACCGAUGUAAGUGUAGUAUCAAAUCAUAUGACCGUGAGGCUUGGUUGUGGUGAACGCAAGACCCUGUUAGCAGUGCAGCAUCAUGGUUGGCAAAAGCAAAAGACCAAGUCAUGGCAAGGUACACAUGAAGUUGAAAAUGAGACAAAUUACUUGGACAUGAAAAUACAAAGUCAAACCCAUCAAACAUGACUCUCAGAUGACGAACCAAGGGAAAAGAGCUAGAUUAGGCCUUAGAUGGUUAAAAAUGGAUGAGUUGACUUUGGUCACAGUUGACCAAAAAGUCAACCAUUGACCAAAGUCAACAAUUGGUUAAAGCUUAUAAUUUUUUCUUUGUAUUCCUCAAUGCUUGGACAUUUGUGAUGAACUGUAAAUGACUGUGAAUGAAGGUGAGAUUUUGACUUGA